This 477-nucleotide ribosomal RNA is filed under the name uncultured bacterium. RNAcentral's name for it is "partial 16S ribosomal RNA". It matches the Rfam family "Bacterial small subunit ribosomal RNA", at positions 355 to 824 of the family's 1533-position model. The record is from RNAcentral.
UGGGGAAUUUUGGACAAUGGGCGAAAGCCUGAUCCAGCAAUGCCGCGUGUGUGAAGAAGGCCUUCGGGUUGUAAAGCACUUUUGUCCGGAAAGAAAUGGCUCUGGUUAAUACCUGGGGUCGAUGACGGUACCGGAAGAAUAAGGACCGGCUAACUACGUGCCAGCAGCCGCGGUAAUACGUAGGGUCCAAGCGUUAAUCGGAAUUACUGGGCGUAAAGCGUGCGCAGGCGGUUGUGCAAGACCGAUGUGAAAUCCCCGAGCUUAACUUGGGAAUUGCAUUGGUGACUGCACGGCUAGAGUGUGUCAGAGGGGGGUAGAAUUCCACGUGUAGCAGUGAAAUGCGUAGAGAUGUGGAGGAAUACCGAUGGCGAAGGCAGCCCCCUGGGAUAACACUGACGCUCAUGCACGAAAGCGUGGGGAGCAAACAGGAUUAGAUACCCUGGUAGUCCACGCCCUAAACGAUGUCAACUAGUUGUU